AGUGGCUUUGGUCAGCUUUGG
RNAcentral lists this microRNA (21 nucleotides) under Oreochromis niloticus (Nile tilapia). Its description in RNAcentral is "oni-miR-10643". Lineage: Eukaryota; Metazoa; Chordata; Actinopteri; Cichliformes; Cichlidae. The record is from miRBase by way of RNAcentral.